AAGGCUUCAGUACGACCCAGUCAGAACUAUAAGUCUCAAAGCCCCGACGAGUAGGGUGGCGUGCCGGUGCGCGUUGAAGGCCAAGACGUGAGUCAGGCUGGAGCCGCCGGUAGUGCAGAUCUUGGUGGUAGUAGCAAGUACUCUGGUGAACCAACCUGGAGCUGUGAGGUUUGGAUUAGGGUUCCAUGUCAACAGUGAUUGAACAUGGGUGAGUCGAUCCUAAGCCAGCUGUGAAUGCAGUGACAUCCCGACAACGGGGACGCCGCGUACAUGCCCCGGCACUUACACCCCCACACCAAAGCUCUCGUGUAUCUCUCUCUCAAACUGUCUGUGACGAAAAGGUGUCUGGUACGGAAUAAUGCGCACACACACAGUGAUCGCUAGCAGUGUGAGUGUGUGUGCGCUUCUCUGGUUACGCUCAUAAGCGUUGUCGAACUCUCUGUAGGAAAAGGCUGAAAGUCGCGCACACACGGUGAUCGCUAAGGAGUGUGAGUGUGUGCGCGCUCGCACGAAGUGCAUAAAACCAGAGAGAGAGAGAAAGAGAGUGGGUGAGCGUGAGUUUGCUCUUGCAUGAGUCCCCUGCGUAUGGUUCUAUGUCCGGCGAAAGGGAAUGGGGACUUUGUUCCUUGACCGGUCCCGGCACCCUCGAUUGGCUUUUGCCAAUCAAUGGUCCAUGCAAAUGGAACCAGGCCACAGCCGUCGGCAGUCGCCCGANGAAGAGUUUUCUUUUCUGCUUAACGCACGAGGUCAUCCCUGGAAACAGUUCGGCUGGCGAAAGGGUGCCCCCGUUGCGGCAGAGCGCCACGACUGUCGUGCGCGUCUCGGUGUUCCUGCUGAUCCGUGAAAACGUGGUCGAGGGGAAUGCUCUUGUAUCAACGAAACGUCCGACAAGUUCGGGACAGACCGUACCCUAUAUCCGCAUCUGGUCUCCAAGGUUCGUAGCCUCUGCAGAGUCAGACACAUGUAGGUAAGGGAAGUCGGCAAACUCGAUCCGUAACUUCGGGAAAAGGAUUGGCUCUGAGGGCCGAGCUGGGCCGGGCCUUGCCUGCAAAGCAGUACCUAUAGUGACCGGAGUUUCAGGAGUGCGAGGGGCUCUAGUAGCUGCUUGCGCGUGUGUGUGCGUUCGCGCGUGCGCGCGCGUGUGGGCACGAACGAGUCCACCGCUCCGCUCCAACCACGAACGGCUGUGACGGCAAGGGCUCUGGGCGGGAGCGAUCUAUCCGUUGGCCCCCAGCGCGUCUGGGUGGCGGCGGUGCUCCGUCUGACCCAUACGGCUCCAGCGGCUAGCGGCUAACUCAGAACUGUCAUGGACCAAGGGAAUCCGACUGUCUAAUUAAAACAAAGCGUCGUGACGGCCCCUGUUGGGUGAUGACGCGACGUGAUUUCUGCCCAGUGCUCUAA
This 1401-nucleotide ribosomal RNA is filed under the name Niphargus rejici. Its description in RNAcentral is "eukaryotic LSU rRNA". It matches the Rfam family "Eukaryotic large subunit ribosomal RNA", at positions 1357 to 2213 of the family's 3401-position model. Lineage: Eukaryota; Metazoa; Arthropoda; Malacostraca; Amphipoda; Niphargidae. The record is from RNAcentral.